Molecule: long non-coding RNA, 3607 nt
Organism: Balaenoptera ricei (Rice's whale)
Lineage: Eukaryota; Metazoa; Chordata; Mammalia; Artiodactyla; Balaenopteridae
Exons: 2
Source: RefSeq, a predicted model, not a curated record
AAGGAUGCCCACCACCCUGGGGGGGGGGGGUGUCCCCCUCAUUACCUCUGCAGGUGGUUGGCCUGCCCUGUGCCCGCAGCCUGCCCUGGCAUGAGCCCAGGGCACUGUCACAGCUUCUCAGAGGACUCACUGUACUUACUAUUGAGGCAGUAGUUCCCACACUCUGCCAGGUGCCAGCAUGAAACAGAACAGGGAAGGUCAGAAUCUCACAGUCAUUGUAAAAUCCCAAUUACUUUGGUUGCAGAUUUCUGGGAACCAGCCUUGCUGCCCUCGUGAAGCCCUGCAGGAAUUCACAUUCCUCUUACGGAAUGUGAAUCUGAUUCCCAACGGGAACCACUGGAAAUCUUUUCUCCUCAUGGUUAGCACCAAGUCACCCAACACGCCUCGCCAGUCCCAGCUCACGAGUGGAGGCGCAGGUGGUGGUGGGCCAAGAAGAUGUGUGUAAUAAAUUAUCCAACACCUCUGAGGCUCCCCUGAGCUUGCGCUGACGAUCCCCAUUUAAUCUAAACCUGGAGAAAUAACUCCUUGCUGAAGUUACUUACCUUGUCAAUGACCAUUUAUUUUCUUGGCUCCAGGCUACGCGUGAAAAAGGAAUGAUAAGCCAGCCAGCUGCCUCUUUUCUCUCCCUAGUGGAAAAUAUCACCCUAAUUCCCGCCCCACCCCCUUUGCAAUAUUCCAGAGCCCUGGUGAUGUGGUGAUUAACAAAGAGCAGGGGAACGCUCUAGAAAUGACACCACUGAAUACAAAAAUGGUGGAAAUAUACUCAGUGUCGUCACUGAGUGGAUAAACAUUAAUUCCGUCCUACAACAUUACAGCUAGAAGUGACCAUCUAGCCCUUUCUGGCCCUUUGUGGUUUGUUUAAAUAUUGUAAGCACAGCUAUAUUUGAUCCUAACCCUUUAUAUCUGAUUUCUUCUACAUUGUCUUUUUUUCCGUGGCAAAGGCACAAGUCGAAAGGUGUUUUGGGUGCUUCCUCACAUUUAGACCUAAAAGCUCGUGCCAUCUGGUGACACAAAUAAUACCCCAAUGAAUAGCAGCCUGCAAGCUAGGCAAAACAUUUUCCACUGCAGGGACUUGAAAUUCCCAAGGGACCAUGACGAGUUAAAGGGAGCUUGCUGGCUCCUUCAUACAGUCCCAGGACCAGUGAAGGAAGGACCUGGGGUGUUGUAACCUAGCUUUUCCAGCAGCCAGAACUCCUCUCAACAACCCCCUGAGACAUGGCCAUCCAGCCCCAGGGAACACUUUCCACGAUGGGUAGCUCUCUCGCCCAUAGGGCAGCACCCUCCCCUGCCGGACAGCUCUACUUGGAGCAGAUGUCUUGGUUCCAUGAAACUGACUCUGCAGCCAUAAAGUAAAGAACAGCAGAAAAAUGUUUUUCAACACUACCAGUCUUCAGCUAUCUAAACAGGAACAUCUAGGUUGAACACCCCCCCCCCCAAAUUUUCCAUUGUUUAUGAUACACCAUCAAAAGAAAACAAAUUCCCUGUAGUAUGCACAAUUUCUAUGUUUUAUUCACUUGUGUUUUUUCAUACUGAGUUUUCUUAAAUUAUAGUCCAUACUUAAUGAUGCUAUGUGUUUUAUGCACUGGGACCCCUCUCCCCGGCCAAAAAAAAAUCACCCAAAUCAGACCCAGCAAUACGAUGUGAAUUUACUAAACACAACAUAAAAUGUCCAGAAUGUGGGAGAUCAGCAUGGGUCAGGCAGGUUCCCAUCUUUGAGGACUGCGCACCCCUGACAAAUGUGUGACCUAAGCCAUUAGCUUUUGGUGUCGGUAGUGAGUGUGGCGUGGCUUCAGCUGCUACAGAGAAACAACCCCAUCUAGUGGCCUGCAGGGUCCUGAAUGGUCUGAGUCCAAACUCUAAUGCAGGGAAGGGAAAGAAGGACCGGGCUCAGAGUUCUUUCCCAAGUGGCCUGUCUGCUAUGGGCUGGGGGAACCCCAGGAGGAAACAGCUGCAUCCUGCACCCCUGUCUUGGACACGCAGAACAUAGCAAAUGCUCUGAGAAGUCCCACAGAAGAGACAGUGGUUUGUUUACCCAGGAUUACCCAGAUUUAUUUGACCCCAGAAGCCCCCUCCCAUUUUGUGCCUAUGAAUGUAUGUUGUCUGUCUCUCUGUGUGAGCAUAAAACAGCCAUCAGUAUUCCUUGGAACUUAAUUUUUUACAUGUGCUUCGUGGAACUCUUCUUUAACUUGUUAGUAACUUAAAUACAAGAGCCCUGAGGGACUGGGACACAGGUGGGUAAAUUUGGAUGCGAGCAGAAAGAAGACAGAAAUCUCUAAGGAUGGGGAGUAUUUUUUGAGGAGGGCGGCUUUUUGACACCCCUCUGGUGAGAUGAGAAAAGGGCCUCGGUACUGGGGUACAGCAUGGGGUGCUGAGGUUUGAGGUGGAAGAAGGCACCUAAGAGUGACAGCCCCCAAAUGGAUGGUGAGGGGACCACCAAGCCCUAUGGUUUUUGCUGGUACCUGAAGUCGUGGCUGGGAGUUAGAAGACCCUCUGGCUCCUCCUGCCCCAGUUGGAGACAGAGAGGCUCACUUUCCUGCAGUUCAGUGGGAGCCCGGUGCCCACCUCCAUCUGGGCUCAGGCUCUGCUCCUGCCUCUGAUUUUGCCAGAGACAAAGGGCAGGACGGGGGUCCCAAAACCCCCUCAAUGUCCUGAUGGUCUGGGAGCCUGGACCGCUCCAGGAUUUGUCUGAGUUUCUGGCCCCAGCCCGUCUGCACCACCAAGAGGUGAGAACAAGUUUCCAAUCUCCCGACUAGGGUCCCAGUGGAAUUCUCCUCUGAGGAGGGUAGAAAGAACCAGACUCACUGAGGAUCCCAGAAGCUAAUUUCCUGACGGAGAAGGUGCGCCUUGGUAUGGACUGAGCGAGGCCUGGCGCUGGGGAUUUCUACAACAUGCUGCCCACUGUAAAAGGACUGGUUUAACUUCUGUGGGGAGUGCUAGGAAAGGUUCAUGCUUUUGAAGCAUGAUCUGUUAAUCAGGGAGGGAAACAACCCUUAAAUACAUGAGGCUAAGAAUCACCUUGCUGGAUCAGACAGGAUUCUCUUUGACAACCAAGGAUGGCUUCUAACCAUUCUUUGUCUUUCUCACGAAGAAUAUACCCCAACUUUUAGACUGUUCUCCUGCAUCUCUGUGGAACCAGCUCUCCUCCCUUUAUUUCUGAUCCUUACUCAGGACUAGAUGCUCACCUCAAAAGUCUGUCUGCAGGUUGCACUGAUCACAGUCUUCAGUUCCAUUGUCUGCAGUCAAGGUCACACAAUACACAUGAGGAAGGGAAGCCUGUACCUUCUGGAUGCUCCCACUGAAUGGCUUGAGGAUGCCUGAGUUCUUCUUCACGUCAUCAUAAUUGGGGACCCCACCAAUGAAAAUGUCCGAGUUGCACUUAAUCUGGGUGAAGCCUCCCUGCCAACAGAUGAAAAACAAAACACGAUGCAACUUCAGAAAAAAAUGGUUAAGAUUACCAAAGGUACCUUUGGUUCCCUGUCAGGGAGCAAAAGGCAGAGACAGUCUCAAGACUCAUCAUGACAAUCUGUCUACACAUUGGCUUGACCUUUGCCUUGUUUUGCAUUGCUUCUUACCACCUGUUUGAAAGUAAAUUCCUUGACAUUUCUGA